UGUGCAGAUCUUUUUCCUACCCGCUUGUUCACUGAGAAAGUGCAACCAAUUUUCUAGAACUGAAUGUCUCCUAAUAUACAGGUGUCCACUUUUGAAGUCAACAACAAUAGUGAACCUGAUUCCAAGAUCGGUCAACAAUGGUACAAAGUCCUGCUACGAAUAAAGAGUUGAUAAAGAGGCAAUGGCAUCAUUAAAGAAAUAACUGAACUCUGAAAUUGAAACUGUUCUCCUUAUGAUGGAAUGCUGGAUUGAUAAGUGUGUGAAAUGAAAUCCAUGUAAGAGAUCCGUGGAAGGCUGAAAGAUUGAGUCCUUUGUGUAACUUCAUUAUGGAGCCAUGUCAAAUUUGCCAAAUGGCCCACACUGCUGAAAUACCAAGUGCAUUGUUUAUUUUAUCCAAUAUCUGUGUCCAGUUAUCAGCAGAAUCUUGAAAAGCUACUUGUCAUUCCUUUCGCAUCAAUGAGGUUGUAGAGAUAUACUAGAUAUUUCUUGUUUGUUUCAGAGAAAGAGCUUGCUCCUCAUUAUUCAGAAAAUCAGAAUUUCCACAUUUGGAAUAUGCUCUCUCCGGAUGUUUUUAUUAGACCUGUUAUUGCCCAGAAUUCUGUUCAUUCUGAAUCACAAGAUUGAAUUGCAUAUGAACCUGGCUGAUGGAUCUAUGUUCAAUUCAAAAGGAAUCUACGCUCAAUUCAAAAGGAUCUCUAGCAGUGCAGUUUAUUCUAGCAUAUAUUUCAAUUAAAGUUUUCCUGAUUGAAUGGAAACAUGUGAUUCCAAUUGACUGUUGUUUGGACCGAAUUAGUCUUACCAUCUAUCAAAUAAACAGUCAAGUCUUGUGAAUUAGAUUACUGCCUUUGACCGACUGAAUCUUCUGUUAGUAAGUGUUCAUGACAACUGUACUUUGGUUAAGAAUUGUUUGGAAUAAAACCAAGUGCCAAUUGCUAAUGGUCGCUGGAUGAAGAAAUGAAGCUAAUCUGAAGUUCAGUUGUAUGUUUAGUACUUUUCAAUGGAUUUUAAAAUGCAAUGCACUUUUGAUGACAAACGUUCUCCAAUUUGCCAAGAGGCUCCAGUAAGUCUGCAGAUGAUUGAUUUAGACUUAGAAAAUUCACUUCAUAACUUCAACAAACUUUUUCCGCCAGAUGUUGACGAGCUACUGAGUGAUAAGACUUUAUCUGACGUUUCCAAAGAUGUUGGAAGUACGAAUCAGGACAGUGUUGAUCGAAGACAAUCCGAAAGUGAAAUUUUUUCCUCCAGAAAUGGAUGCAGUGCAAAGGAUUUUAAAUGGAAUGACGAAAAAAUAAAGGAGUUAUCGGAAAUAAGAAGCCAACACCAUAAUACAUCGUCGGAAACCCAGUCCUGCCAGGGCCUGGAAAAUUUAGCUUUCUCUUCAAGUGUGGAGCCUCAGCACAGCAUUAAUGGAAGCACUGAUUACAGGCCAAAAGCAACAAAUGGCAAAAGAGCGGAUGGAAUUGAUACAAGCUGCAGUGCCAGUACUAAUACAAAGAAACUCAUGAAUUCGACAGAUUCUGGCAUAAAUGAAGAAAUUACUUAUCCCAGAAUCAAAGAUAGCUCUCUGCAACCGUCUUAUCUUCAAAAGCAAAAUGCAUCGGAGGGUUUCAAAAGUAGUGAGUCUUCAUCUGAGGCUAGUUCAUCACUUUCGUUAACUGAGUAUUUUGCCGAGGAUGAUUCUCUUCUACAGUCGCUCUUGCAUAAUAGCCAUGUUUGGAGUUUUAUGAAAAGUAGCCAAAUCAAAAGGCUCUCCAUGCCGCGCAAGUCAAAUUUGCAGCCCCACGCUGUUAAAAGAUCAAGAUCUGUUUCAGAGAUUGACAACUUCGUUUAUCAUUCAAUGGGCUCUCUGGAUUCUGCACUAAGUGCACAAAGAGAAGAUACUAAUGGGGCUGAGGAUGGUUUUCAGUUUUUCACUGGACAAAAGCAAUCUGCUGACAAGCUCUCAACUAACGACUCCUUGAAACGCACUAAGACUACAUCUUCUAACCGAUGUCAUUCACUCUCUAGCGUGGACUGCAACGAAGACAUCGAUUGGCAUUGGCUGGACGACCUGCUCAGGGUGGAAAAGCAGAGCUCCCGGGCUUCGGGGCCGGCAGCGGCGACAGAGACCUGCUUCCUGCAUGAGCCCGGGGCCGGGGGUGGCCCGGCGACCCCUUCGGCUCCCCCGGCACCGGCCGGACCCUCGACGACCCGGCGCCCGAAGGCGACGUGGCUCCGGGAGUCGAUGCGCCGGGUGCGGCACUUCCGGCUCGGGGAACCGGAGUCUCCGGCGAGGGUGGUCGACGAGCGAAACGAGCCCCUCUUCCCAUGCGAGAUCCUCGAGCGCUCCACCUCGGCCCCGGUGGAGCGGCCCCGGCAGUACGGGCGCCGCCACUCGGCAGCUGCCGCUUCGCCGUCGUCGUCGCGCUUCGGCGAGGACGUCGCCGUGUCCCGCCCACGCGCGGAGCUACUCCCGACCACGCCGGAGCACCUGCCCGUCACGCCGACCGCCCCGCCCGUGCCGCUCUGCGAGGAGUCCACCAGCACCGCCGGCUUUUCCUCCCCGGAAGCCUCGGACUCGGAGACGCAGCCGCCCAACCCCCCGGAUCACCUCGCUGACCCGUGUCAGUCAUCAGGUAAAGGACCCCACUUUAGUUUAUUGCUUGACCAUAGAUCUAGAGAAAGUACAAACACCGGGCUCAAUCGUAAUCUAUGUCCAAAAGAUCUUGCAAAUGGGGGCAACUCUAGUGGGAAAGGUGCAGGCAGAUCCAGACACUUCGAAGAGGGGGGGGUGUCUAGGGGGUUUCCCCCAGAAAAUUGUUGAAAUUUUAAAGCAUCUAAUAUUCGGUUUCAGUCAAUUUCGUCGUGAACAAUUACCAAGUAUAAG
Molecule: long non-coding RNA, 2866 nt
Filed under: Bemisia tabaci
Lineage: Eukaryota; Metazoa; Arthropoda; Insecta; Hemiptera; Aleyrodidae
Description: lncRNA ENSSSA3NGG008003
Source: RNAcentral